UGGGGGGGCCUUAACAUGCCAGUCGAGCGGAAGGCCCCUUCGGGGGUACUCGAGCGGCGAACGGGUGAGUAACACGUGAGUAAUCUGCCCUUCACUUUGGGAUAACCCCCGGAAACGGGAGCUAAUACCGGAUACGACUGCCGGCCGCAUGGUCUGGUGGUGGAAACUUUUUUGGGCGGGGGAUGUGCUCGCGGCCUAUCAGCUUGUUGGUGGGGUAAUGGCCUACCAAGGCUUUGACGGGUAGCCGGCCUGAGAGGGUGAUCGGCCACACUGGGACUGAGACACGGCCCAGACUCCUACGGGAGGCAGCAGUAGGGAAUCUUCGGCAAUGGGCGAAAGCCUGACCGAGCAACGCCGCGUGAGCGAUGAAGGCCUUCGGGUCGUAAAGCUCUGUUGUUAAGGAAGAACAAGUACGAGAGUAACUGCUCGUACCUUGACGGUACUUAACGAGAAAGCCACGGCUAACUACGUGCCAGCAGC
Molecule: ribosomal RNA, 480 nt
Filed under: uncultured Nocardioides sp.
Lineage: Bacteria; Bacillati; Actinomycetota; Actinomycetes; Propionibacteriales; Nocardioidaceae
Description: bacterial SSU rRNA
Rfam family: Bacterial small subunit ribosomal RNA
Source: RNAcentral